Molecule: transfer RNA, 64 nt
Filed under: Cavia porcellus (domestic guinea pig)
Lineage: Eukaryota; Metazoa; Chordata; Mammalia; Rodentia; Caviidae
Rfam family: tRNA
About the family: Transfer RNA (tRNA) molecules are approximately 80 nucleotides in length. Their secondary structure includes four short double-helical elements and three loops (D, anti-codon, and T loops).
Source: Rfam by way of RNAcentral
GGGGAUUUAGUUUAGCGCCAUAAGCGCCUGCCUUGCAAGCAGGCAGUUAUGAAUUCAAUCCCUG